Molecule: ribosomal RNA, 377 nt
Filed under: uncultured Streptococcus sp.
Lineage: Bacteria; Bacillati; Bacillota; Bacilli; Lactobacillales; Streptococcaceae
Description: bacterial SSU rRNA
Rfam family: Bacterial small subunit ribosomal RNA
Source: RNAcentral
AGAUAGAAAGUUACUUCGGUUACAUCGGUGACAGGUGGUGCAUGGUUGUCGUCAGCUCGUGUCGUGAGAUGUUGGGUUAAGUCCCGCAACGAGCGCAACCCCUAUUGUUAGUUGCCAUCAUUCAGUUGGGCACUCUAGCGAGACUGCCGGUAAUAAACCGGAGGAAGGUGGGGAUGACGUCAAAUCAUCAUGCCCCUUAUGACCUGGGCUACACACGUGCUACAAUGGUUGGUACAACGAGUUGCGAGUCGGUGACGGCGAGCUAAUCUCUUAAAGCCAAUCUCAGUUCGGAUUGUAGGCUGCAACUCGCCUACAUGAAGUCGGAAUCGCUAGUAAUCGCGGAUCAACACGCCGCGGUGAAUACGUUCCCGGGCCUU